Daphnia pulex (common water flea) is the source of this 1479-nucleotide RNA transcript. It is a transcript of the gene named RISC-loading complex subunit TARBP2-like, with no coding region annotated. The record is from RefSeq and is a predicted model, not a curated record. Lineage: Eukaryota; Metazoa; Arthropoda; Branchiopoda; Diplostraca; Daphniidae. The transcript has 6 exons.
AUGGCAGAAGUUUCCCUGAGAGAACCAAGUGCUGCUCAAGAAAAGACUUUUGUCAGUGUGUUUCAUGAGCUUUGUACAAAAUUUGACUUUGGAGUAGCCAUGUAUAACUUGGUGGCUGAGCAAGGCGAACCCCACAGUCGAACUUUCUUGAUGAAUUUGACUGUAGACAUGUUGGGUAUUUCAGUUGAAGGCAUUGGCUUAACCAAGAUGCAAGCAAAGCAUGAUGCUGCCUAUAAAAUGAUGCUUCAAAUCAGGGAGACUUAUCGAGCCGAUGGAACUCUCAACAAUGUCCCCAGAGUAAAACUCGUGAACUGCUGUGAAUGGCUGGAAAAAUGUGGAACACUAAAGGAAGACAUACCCAAACCACCAACAGAACCAACUCUAAAUCCAUCUGGGGUUCUCACAGAAUGGUGUUUGACCAGACACAGCAGUCUUCCUGAUUACAGGGUUGUUCGAACUUCAGGUCCUUCUCACUCCAAAACAUAUUUUAUGACUUGCAAGCUUGGGGAUCGUAUCACUGAAGGUGAGGGAAAGUCAAAGAAGGCUGCCAAAAAUGUCGCUGCCGGAAAAAUGCUCCAGAUACUUUAAGACGAAGAGUUGUAAUAGCUAUUCCGAGAAACGUGAUUUCAUAAGUGCACGCUGGAUAUGGAAAACGAUAUGAACUUGUAAAAAUUUGUCCCGUUCAGUUCUUGCAGGGCCUACACAUUUUCGCUGUAGUAGAGAUUUCGAUUUCUACGUAUGUACUUUCUGUUUUCCCGCAAAGAAGCUUUCGCUUUCGAAUUCAACAGUUAUUAUUGACUACCAUACUGGCCAAGAACAAAGAUCAAGAAACCUGCGGCAAUUAUUUGUAACAUACCUUUCUACUCGCCACCGCCUUAUUGUACAGGUUAGUCUACCCACAUAGGCCUCGUGCUGUUUUUCUCAAUGAGGAAUACCUUGGUACCUCCUCUUUUCAGUGCCUGGAGCUCUCUGUAAGGCUUUCACGCUGUCUAGAAAAAUUCGUAUAAAAUGGGUUCCUCCAAGCGCGAAUGCAAGUCAGUGCGCUCACCAUUGCCAUGCUGUUCUCAUGGCUAGUUUCAGUUUUGUUGGCAAUCCUUCACGCUGUAGCGUGGUGUGGCCUCUUGGCGUUUAUUUGUCUCGUCUUUUGGUCCAACAAUAACCGAGCGUUCGCCCGUUUAGUCUUUCUCGUGUCUCCGUUAAAUGCAGUGAUGCGUCUCUAAAUUUUGCUUGAAGGACGACAAGAGUUAUACUGGAUUACUGGUCUGCAUUUAAUGUAUACGAUGUUAUAUAAUACUCGUUUACUACUUACGACGGCAAAACAUUUUGCUUACUCGUUUCUCAUCAUCAAUUAUUGUAAAUUCCUAUUGUGCUUCCACUAUCGCCGGUGUUAAUCCUACGCUACUGCUCGAAUUCGCCAGUAGCCUUUCACUGCUUGUUAUCUUCUUGUGUCUCUAAAUACAGACAAGAGUUGACCUCUCA